CCGUGUACCGGUACAAGGAGGCAGAAUUUGCACAGUUCGAACUGCAGGGGUGUUUUUGCGUUUGUGGGUCUCUUAUAUCAGCACCCACGUCUCUAGGGCCUUUCUUUGAGCUCUCCACUGCAGGGAAAAAGGUAGGGCACCUCUCCCCUUCAACCCUUUUGGAUUUGAUCCCAUUUUAGCUUGGAUUUUGAUGGUUUUUCCCUCUCUUUUGUCUCUUGGAGCCAUUUCCACCAUUUUUGAAGCUUGGAGCUUGGGUUUGGAGUUUGAUUGAGGGAAGAUACUUGAAGUUUGAGAACUUUGAGCUGAGUUUGAGGCUUCU
Molecule: long non-coding RNA, 319 nt
Filed under: Ananas comosus (pineapple)
Lineage: Eukaryota; Viridiplantae; Streptophyta; Magnoliopsida; Poales; Bromeliaceae
Description: long non-coding RNA (ACOM_LNC003782)
Source: RNAcentral